AAUCGAUUCGGUAUCAAUGAA
This 21-nucleotide unclassified non-coding RNA is filed under the name Dictyostelium discoideum. The record is from RNAcentral. Lineage: Eukaryota; Evosea; Eumycetozoa; Dictyosteliales; Dictyosteliaceae.